Molecule: ribosomal RNA, 1343 nt
Filed under: uncultured bacterium
Lineage: Bacteria
Description: 16S ribosomal RNA
Rfam family: Bacterial small subunit ribosomal RNA
Source: RNAcentral
GACGAACGCUUGCGGCGUGCUUAACACAUGCAAGUCGAACGGAAAGGCCCUGCUUUUGUGGGGUGCUCGAGUGGCGAACGGGUGAGUAACACGUGAGUAACCUGCCCUUGACUUUGGGAUAACUUCAGGAAACUGGGGCUAAUACCGGAUAGGAGCUCCUGCUGCAUGGUGGGGGUUGGAAAGUUUCGGCGGUUGGGGAUGGACUCGCGGCUUAUCAGCUUGUUGGUGGGGUAGUGGCUUACCAAGGCUUUGACGGGUAGCCGGCCUGAGAGGGUGACCGGCCACAUUGGGACUGAGAUACGGCCCAGACUCCUACGGGAGGCAGCAGUGGGGAAUAUUGCACAAUGGGCGGAAGCCUGAUGCAGCAACGCCGCGUGCGGGAUGACGGCCUUCGGGUUGUAAACCGCUUUCGCCUGUGACGAAGCGUGAGUGACGGUAAUGGGUAAAGAAGCACCGGCUAACUACGUGCCAGCAGCCGCGGUGAUACGUAGGGUGCGAGCGUUGUCCGGAUUUAUUGGGCGUAAAGGGCUCGUAGGUGGUUGAUCGCGUCGGAAGUGUAAUCUUGGGGCUUAACCCUGAGCGUGCUUUCGAUACGGGUUGACUUGAGGAAGGUAGGGGAGAAUGGAAUUCCUGGUGGAGCGGUGGAAUGCGCAGAUAUCAGGAGGAACACCAGUGGCGAAGGCGGUUCUCUGGGCCUUUCCUGACGCUGAGGAGCGAAAGCGUGGGGAGCGAACAGGCUUAGAUACCCUGGUAGUCCACGCUGUAAACGGUGGGUACUAGGUGUGGGGUCCAUUCCACGGGUUCCGUGCCGUAGCUAACGCUUUAAGUACCCCGCCUGGGGAGUACGGCCGCAAGGCUAAAACUCAAAGGAAUUGACGGGGCCCCGCACAAGCGGCGGAGCAUGCGGAUUAAUUCGAUGCAACGCGUAGAACCUUACCUGGGUUUGACAUGGAUCGGGAGUGCUCAGAGAUGGGUGUGCCUCUUUUGGGGUCGGUUCACAGGUGGUGCAUGGCUGUCGUCAGCUCGUGUCGUGAGAUGUUGGGUUAAGUCCCGCAACGAGCGCAACCCUUGUUCACUGUUGCCAGCACGUUAUGGUGGGGACUCAGUGGAGACCGCCGGGGUCAACUCGGAGGAAGGUGGGGAUGACGUCAAGUCAUCAUGCCCCUUAUGUCCAGGGCUUCACGCAUGCUACAAUGGCUGGUACAGAGAGUGGCGAGCCUGUGAGGGUGAGCGAAUCUCGGAAAGCCGGUCUCAGUUCGGAUCGGGGUCUGCAACUCGACCUCAUGAAGUCGGAGUCGCUAGUAAUCGCAGAUCAGCAACGCUGCGGUGAAUACGUUCCCGGG